Peromyscus eremicus (cactus mouse) is the source of this 2090-nucleotide long non-coding RNA. RefSeq lists it as uncharacterized. Lineage: Eukaryota; Metazoa; Chordata; Mammalia; Rodentia; Cricetidae. The transcript is spliced from 3 exons. The record is from RefSeq and is a predicted model, not a curated record.
CAGCUAGGGCUAGAAAACAGUUCAGCACUAGAAAGGGAAACAAGGCAUUACCUGGCAACUCAUCAUUUCUGUCUUACACAUUCUGCUUUAAACUUUAAAAAAAGCCCUGGUUCUCCUACAGUCGUGGUACCCCCAAUGUGCCAGUCCGUGGCAUCCAAACAGAUAUACAGACGGAAGAAAAGAAAGGGGAAGGAGACAUCAGCCACCACUCAAGGAGCAGCAAGAUGCCAGCAGAUCGGAAGCAAGAGACUAUGGAUUCAUUCCAAGUUAAGAUGGAUCAGAUUUGAUCAAGAGAGACCUCCUGAACUUUAACAGAUGGUACCUACCAACAAAGGUUAUAGCUGGUUUUCCCAGGACUUGACCAUUAUCUCAUGUUUUCUCAGGAUCCCCAUAAGACUGCCAGUGUCCCCAAGCAGCAGGAAGUAGCCUAGAACACUAUGCUUACUUUCCCAAAAAAUAGAUUAUGGAUGUUUAUUUUUGUUUAGGAGGUUGGUUACAAAUUGUUACUGGUCAUAGUCAAUCUCUUUCUAAAAGAAAAGAGGGGGAUAUGAUAUAGAUAUGAUAGGAUAAAAUGGUAGAUUAUUGAAUCUACUUUUAAAGAACAACCAUUUGUUUGAAAUAUUUUAUAAUCCUAUGGAUUUUGGUUUAUUGAUACAAAUUUAAAGUUAAUUUUGUUAUACUGUAUAUAUAUUUCUACUCUUGUUUAAGGUAUUAUGUUUAUGCAACUAAUUUAAAUUGUAAUAUAUAAUUAAGAAAUACAGAUUAAUAGUCGUCUAUGAUAAUCAAACUUAUAGUCAUGUUAGUUAAGUUUUCUAGGUAUAUGUAGAUUUAUUUCAUUUAGGUAGAUAACUUUCAAACAUUUCAAAGAUCUACAGAAUAUGGCAUUUAAAAUGUUUUAAAUACUUAGACUUUUCUGGACAAUGAGACAUAUCUGUACCUGGCAGCACCAAUCUACUUCAGAGAGGAGGAUGGUUACUGAAGACACUCCAUAUGGAGUUUGCUUUCUUUAUUGGCAAAAAUAGCCAUUUGGGCAAGAAACUGCUCUUACUUGGACUGCUUGAUAAUAUGUUGUAUAAACUGGACAUAUAGGAACCAUAGGAAAAUGACCACUGAAUUUGCUAAAACAAGGUGAAAUGGUUCCUGCUUUUCAGAGGAGAUUGCCAGACAUUCUACAGGACACAGGGAAAAGUCACUGAGAGACUCUAGGCCUAUAGGCUAAAGUUGGAUGCCCUAACUUUGCAGAGGAACUUUGGGUGACUGUCCAGGUGCCAGAUGUCUCUGUCAUUCUAGAUUUUUGGAAGUUGCUUACAAAGCACUUCCUGUUUACUUAGGUAAUAUUAUAUCCUUCUGGGGUCUUUGAUAUAGUUGAAGAAUAGAUAGUUAUAAUUUUCCUUGGUUAUGAUAAAAGAUAAUUUAGAUAUGAAACCUUAGACUCACAAAUAUAGGAUAGAUAAAAUACUUUCUUUAAUUUUGCCAAAUAAAAAUAGACUAGAUAUUAUAACUGUAAUUUCUGCUUGAUAACUGUUCUAUUAUAUAUAAUUUUACUAUGUUAAAGUUAAAACCUUCCUUUUUGAUUAGACAGGAAAGGGGAAGUGCUGUGGGAUGUCUUUCUGUAUGCUGUGUAUAUGUGUUGCUCAGAUUGGUUGAUCAAUAUAGCUGCAUUGGCCUAUGACAAGGCAGCUUAGAAGCAGGUGGGAAAUCCAAGCAGAUAUACAGAGAGAAGAAAGGAAAGGGGAGGGAGACACCAACCGCCACUCAAGGAGCAGCAAGAUGCCAGCAGACCAGUAAUGCCAUGGCCAUGUAGCAACUUAUAGAUUAAUGGAAAUGGGUUAAGUUACGAGAGCUAGUUAGCAAGAAGCCUGCCAUAGGCCAUGCAAUUGGUAAUUAAUAUAAGCGUCUGAAUGAUAAUUUUAUAAGUGGCCACAGGACCACAGGGCCAGGUGGACCAGAGAAACAUGGGACCUUGGGGCUGGGUAGGACCAAAGAAAACUUAUGGUUACAGAUAUGUAUCCUUUAUGUAAUAAAAACUGAACACUGGAAUAAACUCUAAAUCCUCUCAUUAAAAGGAUGUUAAAAGAGUUCUUAGGUCC